RNAcentral lists this unclassified non-coding RNA (1246 nucleotides) under Drosophila yakuba. Its description in RNAcentral is "GE23979". Lineage: Eukaryota; Metazoa; Arthropoda; Insecta; Diptera; Drosophilidae. The record is from RNAcentral.
CUUGUUGCACAUCACUAACAACGAUGUUGGCAAAUGAAACGAACAAGCUGCUGCUUUCCUCGCAGCAGGAAAAGCCAAAUCACUACACCUACCUGAAGGAGUUCCGCGUGGAGCAGUGCCAGUCGUUUUUGCAGCACAAGUGCAACCAGCAUCGCCCCUUCGUCUGUUUCAAUUGGCAUUUUCAAAACCAGCGUCGGCGUCGUCCAGUGCGAAAACGCGAUGGCACAUUCAACUACAGUGCGGAUAACUAUUGCACCAAAUACGACGAAACCACUGGCAUUUGUCCCGAGGGCGAUGAAUGCCCCUACUUACACCGCACUGCUGGAGACACCGAAAGGCGAUACCAUCUGCGCUACUACAAGACAUGCAUGUGCGUCCACGACACCGACAGCCGUGGAUACUGCGUCAAGAAUGGACUACACUGCGCCUUCGCCCACGGCAUGCAGGACCAGCGCCCACCGGUUUAUGACAUCAAAGAGCUGGAGACCCUGCAGAACGCGGAGAGCACACUGGACAGCACUAAUGCUCUAAAUGCCCUGGACAAGGAGCGCAAUUUGAUGAACGAGGAUCCCAAGUGGCAGGACACCAACUACGUGCUGGCCAACUACAAGACAGAGCCCUGCAAGCGCCCACCGCGCCUGUGCCGCCAAGGAUACGCUUGUCCACAGUACCACAAUAGCAAGGACAAACGUCGCUCGCCCAGGAAAUACAAAUACAGGUCCACUCCUUGCCCCAAUGUUAAGCACGGUGAGGAAUGGGGAGAACCGGGAAACUGCGAGGCCGGCGAUAACUGCCAGUACUGCCACACACGCACCGAGCAGCAGUUCCACCCGGAGAUCUACAAGUCGACCAAGUGCAACGAUGUCCAACAGGCCGGUUACUGUCCGCGCAGCGUCUUCUGCGCCUUUGCGCAUGUGGAACCAUGCUCAAUUGACGAGAAGGCGCGGGAUCACACGGUAUCCCUAAGCGAGCUUAUUUCCAAUGCGUAUCCUGAUUUAAAAGCCCAGGAUGCGUUUCAAAGGGGCGAUAAUCUUGCUCACUGGACGAUCCGCGCGAGAACUCAUUGUCGGCGAGUCUGGCCAAUACUAGCUUAUUAACACGUUCCUCGGCGCCAAUUAACAUUCCUAAUACGACUCUAAAUAACUCAAUUAACGAUUUUAACUCAGGUGGCUUCGCCGUCAACAUUCCCAGCAGCUCGCUCCCCUACAGUCCCACCAACCAUGCCAAUAUCUUUAACGUGGACGCC